This 614-nucleotide ribosomal RNA is filed under the name uncultured Chlorobiota bacterium. RNAcentral's name for it is "bacterial SSU rRNA". It matches the Rfam family "Bacterial small subunit ribosomal RNA", at positions 450 to 1061 of the family's 1533-position model. Lineage: Bacteria; Pseudomonadati; Chlorobiota. The record is from RNAcentral.
UAUGCAAUUAUUUUGCGUUGAUUGUACCUUCAGAGUAAGCCCCGGCUAACUACGUGCCAGCAGCCGCGGUAAUACGUAGGGGGCUAGAGUUGUCCGGAUUUACUGGGUGUAAAGGGUGCUCAGGCGGAUUUGUAAGUCAGAGGUGAAAUCCCAAAGCUUAACUUUGGAGCUGCCUUUGAUACUGCAAGUCUUGAGUGUGAGAGAGGGUAAUGGAAUAUCUGGUGUAGCAGUGAAAUGCGUAGAUAUCAGAUAGAACACCAAUGGCGAAGGCAGUUUACCUGGCUCAAUACUGACGCUAAAGCACGAAAGUGUGGGGAGCAAACAGGAUUAGAUACCCUGGUAGUCCACACCCCUAAACGAUGAAUACUAGAUGUUGGUCCUUUUCAGGGUCAGUAUCCAAGCUAACGCAUUAAGUAUUCCACCUGGGAAGUACAAUCGCAAGGUUGCCCACUCAAAGGAAUUGACGGGGGCCCGCACAAGCAGUGGAGCAUGUGGUUUAAUUCGACGCAACGCGAAGAACCUUACCUAGGCUUGAAGCGCAAGUUAUAUCCUGAUGAAAGUUCGGGGUGCCGCAAGGCGAACUUGUACAGGUGCUGCAUGGCUGUCGUCAGCUC